GACUUCGAGAUCUACAUUUUCGACAAAGGCCUGGUGUAAUAUUACGUACUUGAUGAAGGUUUAAUGACACGAAUGAGUACAAGUACAUUACAUUUUUCGACGAAGGCCUUCUGUAAUUUCAUACGCUUCUUACGCAACAUUCAAUAGAUUUAUUUACUGUAUUAUCAUUUCGACCAAGGCGAAUUCGACACUUCAAUUACACAAGCACAAUCAAACUUAGUCAUUCCAGUCAGUUACUGAAGCACAGCGAAAACUGUCUGAAUUAGUGCUGCUGAUGGCAUGUAAUUACUCUACUACCACUACCAGUGACAGUCAAUGUCCAUAUAUUUUCAAGUGUGCGAAAUUAGUACUCGUCUACUUCUUAGUGUUAUUUGAAUGCAAUGAAUGUUAUAAAAAUAUUUUUUCAACACUAUAUCAACAUUCUCAUUCCUGUCAGUUUCUGAAAAUCAGCUAAAGCAAUCGCUACCAAGGCAGCUGAUAACAGCAAUUCUUUUUGUUCCCAAUGCCCAUCCAUGACAAUAUAUUUCACGCAUGUGACAAUCAUGUAAUCAUCCUUUUUUUUGUGUUCUAUUCAUGCAAUAAAUAAAUUCAGUAUUUUCAAAUCAUUGGUGCUACAAAACUAUUCUCAUUAUAGAUUAUUCAUAUUUUAUAAAAUGGUGUCAUGUCAAAUUUUGUGUCCUAUAAAUCAUUAAGAAGUCGGCAUUUUAUAUACAACUUUUGUACUCCUCCUAAAUAAACAUACAAAUCUUGUUUUAUGUAAACUUUGUAUAUGUGACCCGUCACAGCAAAACCAGGCGCAUGUCGCUCUGAGCUUGGCAGGUUGAGACGGACUGUUCUAAUCUUUCAUUAGCGACACCAUUUCUUACCCGAUUGCCUCCUUCAUUCAUACAUCUUGUACUUUAACUCAAGAUACCCAUCUUUGAAUAUUUUUAGUAUACCAAGUACUACAAUGUCAAUGUAUUGAAGUCAUGUUCUUGUAGUGUUAUUGGCUUUCUAUUAUCUUGUCAAAAUACCACUUGGUUCUCGCAAAAUCUCAAU
Molecule: long non-coding RNA, 1038 nt
Organism: Lineus longissimus
Lineage: Eukaryota; Metazoa; Nemertea; Pilidiophora; Heteronemertea; Lineidae
Exons: 4
Source: RefSeq, a predicted model, not a curated record